UCACUGGUUAGCAGCUGCAGCUAACAUGUGCUCUCAAAUUUAAGAUUCCUGCAGAGCUAUCAGUCUCUGGUAGUGCUUUUUUAGUCCAAAAGCCGGAGAAAUAGCGACUGAAGUAUCAAACUACGGUCUUUAUUAGUUUAGACUUAUAAAAAAAUGGAUAUGGGUUUUCUUCUUCACGCCCUCAUUCCUUCAUGGAACUCAGUCGUUGUACUAGCAUUUUUCUUUUUUUAUCUGGCUAUUGCUGGAUCUAUAUUGCCUGGUAAAGUUGUUCCUGGAGUGACCCUGCAGGAUGGUUCUCGUCUCUAUUAUCGUUGCAAUGGGUUGGUAUCGUUGCUGUUGCUGGUCGCUCUUCUUGGGAUUGGCGCUAAGAUGGAUCUUGUAUCACCCACUGUGAUAUCAGAGAGAGGACUUGAGCUGCUUUCAGCAACUUUUAUUUUCAGUGUUCUUGUGGCGAUGGUACUCUACGCUGCUGGUUGCAAUUCACAAAACCACGGUUCUUCGCUUAAGCCUCAUGUUACAGGGAACCUAAUACAUGAUUUCUGGUUUGGAAUACAGCUCAAUCCUCAUUUCUUGGGCAUUGACCUCAAGUUCUUUUUUGUUAGAGCUGGAAUGAUGGGCUGGCUAUUUAUCAACCUAUCAGUUUUAGCAAAAAGUAUUCAGGAUGCCAACUUGAGCUGUUCAAUGAUUCUUUACCAAAUAUUCUGUGGGUUAUACAUCCUGGAUUACUUCUUUUAUGAGGAAUACAUGACCUCCACAUGGGACAUAAUAGCAGAGAGAUUGGGCUUCAUGCUAGUAUUUGGUGAUCUUGUUUGGAUUCCAUUCACGUUUAGCAUCCAGGGUUGGUGGCUUUUGGGAAACAAAGUGGAGUUAACAAUGGCUGCUGUAAUAGCAAAUUGCUUUGUUUUUCUGAUUGGGUAUCUGGUCUUUAGAGGAGCUAACAAGCAAAAGCAUGUUUUCAAAAAGAAUCCAAAAGCCCUCAUAUGGGGUAAGCCACCAAGGGUUGUUGGUGGAAAAUUGCUUGCUUCUGGUUAUUGUGUUUCAUAACAUGAGGUAAAGAAGCCAACCUAUUGACUGGCUUAGUAUUGUUUGAUUUGGCUCUAAGAUGCAUAGGUGGCCUCACCUGUUUGUCAAAACAUAUUUCCAAACCAGUCGGGAGCUGCUGUCACAUAAGCUCUUCCUGGAGGGGGAUUGCAAGACAUUGUAAUUAUCUUGGAGACCUAUUGUUGGCGCUGUCAUUUAGUCUACCUUGUGGGACAAGUUCCCUUGUUCCAUAUUUUUAUCCGAUUUAUCUUCUUAUUCUGCUAAUAUGGAGAGAGAGAAGGGACGAGGCUCGAUGUGCCGAGAAGUAUAAAGAAAUAUGGGCUGAAUACCGGAGACUUGUUCCUUGGAGAAUACUGCCUUAUUUUUAUUAAGAAC
Jatropha curcas is the source of this 1416-nucleotide non-coding RNA. NCBI's taxonomy places the organism in Eukaryota, Viridiplantae, Streptophyta, Magnoliopsida, Malpighiales, Euphorbiaceae. The record is from RefSeq and is a predicted model, not a curated record.